GAAAGGAUGAAUGAAAAGUCCGGAGCCGGAGCGCGCCGGGGCCAGAGCCGCGGCAGAGGCAGAGGAGGGAGCUAGGAGGUGAGACCCGCUCCACCCUGCUCGCCUAGGCUCGGCGGAGGCUAAGAGCAGGGCAGCCUCCUCUGCCCGGCGCCCGCUGAGCCCCGGCAUCUGGAACUCAGGGCCCUGGCGCUCCAGGGGCGGGAACUGGCCGGGAGGACCGCGCGGGAGAGCACGGAUGGGCACCCUGGGCUCGAUUGCAUUUGACCUACCUCAGGAUAUCCAAAGGAGAACAGAGGGAAGUGAGGGGUUGAGAACUGACACCCUACAACGCCAGCACCUCAGUGGAAAGGAGGAAUAGAGCCCAGGAGGGAUGUGGGGAAUGUAAAAAGGGCAGCUCUCUGGCAUGUUCCUGACUGAGGAUCUCAUAACAUUUAACUUGAGGAACUUCCUCCUUUUCCAGCUUUGGGAGUCAAGCUUCUCACCUGGGGCGGGUGGGUUCUGCACCACCCUCCCACCCUCCUUCCUCCGUGUGGACGAUAGAGCCACAUCCAGCACCACGGACAGCUCCCGGGCGAUCCCAUGGGAGUAGAAGAGGUGUGAGCAGGUUGCCCAGCUGGUUAGCGGAAAUGCCAAGAUCCAGGCUCCUGAAUUUCAGCCUGGCCCUUUCUAUCUGUCUGAUACCUCCUUUACGAGUCUCUCUGCCUGCGUUGUGUGGAGCGGGCCUGCUGCUGGUUGGGGGAGUUUGCAGGUUGCCCCUAUGCAAAAA
This 766-nucleotide long non-coding RNA is filed under the name Homo sapiens (human). Its description in RNAcentral is "MIR9-1 host gene". Lineage: Eukaryota; Metazoa; Chordata; Mammalia; Primates; Hominidae. The record is from RNAcentral.